RNAcentral lists this non-coding RNA (45 nucleotides) under Echinostoma caproni. Lineage: Eukaryota; Metazoa; Platyhelminthes; Trematoda; Plagiorchiida; Echinostomatidae. The record is from RNAcentral.
GCACUGGUGACGAGUCCAAAACAGGACGAAACAGCUGUCCAGUGC